Molecule: ribosomal RNA, 253 nt
Filed under: uncultured bacterium
Lineage: Bacteria
Description: partial 16S ribosomal RNA
Rfam family: Bacterial small subunit ribosomal RNA
Source: RNAcentral
UACGAAGGGGGCUAGCGUUGCUCGGAAUUACUGGGCGUAAAGCGCACGUAGGCGGCCCAGCAAGCGGGGAGUGAAAGCCCUCGGCUUAACCGAGGAAGUGCUUUCCGAACUACUGGGCUUGAAUACUGGAGAGGGUCGCGGAAUUCCCGGUGUAGAGGUGAAAUUCGUAGAUAUCGGGAGGAACACCAGUGGCGAAGGCGGCGACCUGGACAGAUAUUGACGCUGAGGUGCGAAAGCGUGGGGAGCAAACAGG